AAGUCGAACAAGGUUUUCCGUAGGUGAACCUGCGGAAGGAUCAUUACAAAUAAAGCUAAGGCAUAGGAAAGGUGGGGGUCUUUGAUCUUGUUAAGUGGGUAGGAGCGAAAAGUCCCGGGCUCGCCUCCCGAAAAUGUCUUACAUGUCCCCCCACGAGCCUGAAAGGCCGAAUUUUACAACCCAUUGAUUAUCUACAAUUUAGUUGCAUUUGGGGUUGCUCAAGUGCCCCAGAGGACCCUAACUCUCUUGCAUUUAGUGAACGUCUGAGUACUAUAUAAUAUUUAAAA
RNAcentral lists this unclassified non-coding RNA (287 nucleotides) under plant metagenome. RNAcentral describes it as "partial contains small subunit ribosomal RNA and internal transcribed spacer 1". The record is from RNAcentral.